This 90-nucleotide transfer RNA is filed under the name Thiocapsa sp. RNAcentral's name for it is "tRNA-Ser". It matches the Rfam family "tRNA". Rfam says of the family: Transfer RNA (tRNA) molecules are approximately 80 nucleotides in length. Their secondary structure includes four short double-helical elements and three loops (D, anti-codon, and T loops). The record is from RNAcentral. Lineage: Bacteria; Pseudomonadati; Pseudomonadota; Gammaproteobacteria; Chromatiales; Chromatiaceae.
GGAGAGGUGCCGGAGUGGCCGAACGGGCUUGACUCGAAAUCAAGAGAAGGCGUAAGCCUUCCGUGGGUUCGAAUCCCACCCUCUCCGCCA